RNAcentral lists this ribosomal RNA (406 nucleotides) under uncultured bacterium. RNAcentral describes it as "partial 16S ribosomal RNA". It matches the Rfam family "Bacterial small subunit ribosomal RNA", at positions 30 to 526 of the family's 1533-position model. The record is from RNAcentral.
AUUGAACGCUGGCGGCAGGCCUAACACAUGCAAGUCGAACGAGUGGCGGACGGGUGAGUAAUGUCUGGGAAACUGACCGAUGGAGGGGGAUAAAUACUGGAAACGGUAGCUAAUACCGCAUACCAUCGGAUGUGCCCAGAUUGGAUUAGCUAGUAGGGUGGGUAACGGCUCACCUAGGCGACGAUCCUUAGCUGGUCUGAGAGGAUGACCAGCCACACUGGAACUGAGACACGGUCCAGACUCCUACGGGAGGCAGCAGUGGGUAAUUUGGGACAAUGGGGGCAAGCCUGAUGCAGCCAUGCCGCGUGUAUGAAUAAGGCCUUCGGGUUGUAAAGUACUUUUAUCGAGGAGGCGUUACUCACAGAAGAAGCACCGGCUAACUCCGUGCCAGCAGCCGCGGUAAUUC